UUUGCUUGGUGGGAAAUUUGUCCGCCCUUCCCCUCCUUCCCUUCUAGUCAAAACAACACUUCGCUUUUAUUUUGGCUUGGUAGGAAAUUUGCCCGCCCUUCCCCUCCUUCCCUUCUAGUCAAAACAACAUUUUGCCUUAGCCCCUUUUGAGACUCUUUUGCCUUAGCCCCUUUUGAGACUCUGCAGCACUUUGUCAUCCAACAAUGUCUUGCCCCUCAUCUGCGGGGACUUACGAGUUUCUAUUAUGUUUCUUCUCUUUCCGACCAACGGAUGAUCCCGCUCUUGCUGCCUCUUAGGUGUGCUUCACCUCUUUACUUCUCUCUUUUCCUUUUCCCCCCUUCUAUUUCUCCAUCUCCCCCACCCUCCGCAACUCGCAUUUGUUGUCGUUUUGUCUUGGGACUCCCAAGCGAUUUUGGGUAGGCUUCAAAAGCUAAAACCAGUUUUGGCAAAGCUAUCAGUUUUUUUGUGAAGAACUUUGAACCCACAUCCGCAGCUCUGCUCAAAUCCCGGAACAUUGCACUACACAAUGCCCAAAUCCCUAAAAUUUUUAUCUCCCAUCUACCAGAUCCCAUUUCAAUGUUAUACAUUAUUGCUGUUUUUGGCAGAAGAUGAACAUGCAUAAACAUCAUUCAGACCCAACAGUUGGCAAAGGUAGAUCUUGUUUCUACUGGAGUCUAGUAUGACAGAGAGUUAACUGUCUGCUCACUUGAUUUGCUCUUUGGACUAGCUGAAGGUGUUGGCAGUGGGAUAGAAAGUUUGGUAAUCCCUUACUCCAUAACUAAUUUAUCGAGCCUUAGUUACUUCAUUUCUCAAAUUGCACAUCUAUUUUUCUCAUAAAAGUGGUUUAUAAAUUUUGCCGAAGCUUUUCAACAAGAAGAUUAUGUAAAUGUAGAUUUCUUUGAUGAUUUUCAAUGUUACGCUUUAAAACUGAAUUUUUGUUGUUGUUUCAUUUAAUAAGAAUGAUUUUUCAUCUUCGUUAUUUCAUCUUUAAUCAAUUUUCAGUGUAUAUUGGAAGUCUUAAAAAAAAAAAAAAGGGGCAAUUAUGGUGCCUAGUUUUCUUUUCUCCAUUCUCUGUAGAUAUGUCUUGGUGGAACGCCAAGACAUAACAUCUCAUAUGAUGUGGUCCAUAAAUUGCAGAAUUUACUAAAGGCAUCAGAAUUUAAGGUAAGAUCAGUCAAAUGGUUGUGUUUUGUGGAAUCUUUGCUCUUUGUUUAUGUUGGCAAUCUACAUAUCAUUUCAUACUUUUACCAAUAACCCAAUAUGCAACACUAAAGAGGUUGAUACCAGAAGAACUAGUGGAAACUGAUAAAAUGGGGAAGUAUUAUUUGUGUCUGUGUGUUUAAUUGACUGAAAAUGUUAUCAAAAUUAUUAGCUGAUUUUCACUAGGAUGUCAAGUACAUUCGUGGUGUAAAAUGUGUAAAGUUGGCUGAAAAGCCUGAAAAUGGGAAUGUCUUGAUGGAUGAAUAAAAGCAUCUUUCAAAAAAAUUGAAAGCUUCUCUUAUUUUUAAUCAAUUAUUUAGUAGUUUCUGAAGGGUCAUAUUUUUCUUUUCUUGGUUAAUGGUAUAAUGUAUUUGUGUAUUGUCAAGAAUUUUUCAGUAUCGUAAUAUAUAGUAUCUCAAUCUUGAAUAUCUUAAAAUUGCUCCUAUUUACAAUUUCAAACAUCCAAACUUGGGAUGGUUUCUGACAUUGAAAGUCUUUUACACUACAUAAUAUUUUCUGCCCAGAAGUUAGAACAAGUAGAUCCUCUGUAACUGCAUGUAAGCAAACCUAGACAUGUGUGCAUGCCACCAUGUUGGUUCUAUUUAAAAGUCCUUUUCUCUUUGUUAAUAUGCUGAUAGAAUAUGUUGCUAGCAAUGAUGUGUCAUUUUGCAGGUUGUGAUUGCAAAUGAGUCGCACUUUUUGAAAAAUGCUCAAGCAAAGAGAACGACUACUUUUGUUCCAGUUAUAAAGGUAUUUCAUUCUUGAUCAAUGAUGGUAACGUAGUACCAGCAUUCAGACAUGUUUUUGUACUGAUUCUCCUUUGUACUGAAUCGCAAGCCCAAUCAUAUUAAUCUACUACCAUUCCUUUUCAGCCAUAGAUUCAUGCUGAAUCUCAAAUAAAUAGAACAAGUAAAUAAAGUACACAUGAAUACUAGAUUGUUUUCACCGCUGUUCCAUUGUUAAAUAAAGGAUGCACAAAUUCAUCCUUUUAACAGGUUAAAACUAUAUGAGUAAAAGCCCAGAAAAAAAAAAAAAAGUUGACUUGUAUACCCAAUCAUUGCAUUUCAUAUUUUGUUUGUUCACUUUGAAUGAUCAUUUUUGGUCCACAAUGCAAUAGAAUAAAAUUUCAAUGGGACAGCUACAUAUUUUGAUCCUUUCUCUUGACAUCUUCAUCUCCCCGAUAUUAGACUUUCAGAAAGCUCAAUAUGCAAUAUUACUUAGUGGAAUUCCUGCUUUGUCUUGGCCAAUUGAAUUAUUCAAGCAGGUAACCAUGAAGAGUUGCACAAUUUGAUGAAAGCAACAUUGAUGAUUUGCAGACUUAAAAAAGAUGUUCUUUCUGAGCUUCCUAUGAAGCCUAGGCAACAGGUCAGUAUGUCUGUAUGUGUUUGCUGCAGUGUCUAAUCUGCUUUUCCAUUUGAUUUUGGUUGUUAUUUAAACUUCUUUAGAUUUUAGGAAUUUAAGGAGCAAGGUCAAGUUUAAUCAAUUGAGCACAUGUUUAAAAUUAAUGCAAUGAAGAGUUCAACCUAAGAUUUGUCUCCACCACUGCCCACCAUCGCCAUCACUACUAUUACUUGUAAUUGUUUAUAGAUGAUUUUAUUGCCUAUGUUACACAAAAUGAUUGUUUUAAGUAUGUACUAAUGACAAUUAUAUGCAUGUAAAGACAAUUAUUGUUUUAUAAAUAUUUAAAGCCUUAGUGUUAUAAGAAUUUGCUAAGUUGCUUUAUAUA
Long non-coding RNA from Ziziphus jujuba (common jujube), 2926 nucleotides. RefSeq lists it as uncharacterized. Lineage: Eukaryota; Viridiplantae; Streptophyta; Magnoliopsida; Rosales; Rhamnaceae. The record is from RefSeq and is a predicted model, not a curated record. The transcript is spliced from 2 exons.